AUGAAAUAUGAAAUGAAGUCCAUGAGCACUAAUGAUGUAUGGGACUUAGUACAAAUUCCCAGAGGAGCCAAAACAGUUGGAUGCAAAUGGGUCUUUAAGACUCAACGUGACUCCAAGGGGAAUAUCGAAAGGUUUAAAGCAAAGGCUUGGGGCAAAAAGGUUUCACUCAAAGAGAAGGGAUUGGUUAUGAACCCCCCAAAAAAAUCACAAUUCUCUUCUAAAAAAUCAUUCAGAAUAAUUAUGGCACUCGUGGCUCAUUAUGAUUUGGCGCUGCAUCAUAUGGAUGUCAAAACGACAUUUCUAAAUGGUGACUUAAGUGAAGGUGUAUACAUGGCACAACCAGAAGGUUUUGUUGUGGAAGGAAAAAAUUGGACAUUUAAGGGAUGA
Molecule: ribosomal RNA, 387 nt
Filed under: Triticum aestivum (bread wheat)
Lineage: Eukaryota; Viridiplantae; Streptophyta; Magnoliopsida; Poales; Poaceae
Description: partial small subunit ribosomal RNA
Source: RNAcentral